Dipodomys ordii (Ord's kangaroo rat) is the source of this 69-nucleotide non-coding RNA. The record is from Rfam. Lineage: Eukaryota; Metazoa; Chordata; Mammalia; Rodentia; Heteromyidae.
GUGAAGGUGGCUCAGUGGUAGAGUGCUUGCCUCCCAUGCACGAGGUCCUGGGUUCGAUUCCUCUGCACC